UGGCCUUGUUCCAGGCAGCAAAACUGCUGUGGGAAGUCAGGAAAGGCCGGGUGAAGCGCUGGGCUCUCUGAAGGUGAAUGUGCUGGCAAGAGAGAUUUGGGGUCUCCUAAGGUGCUUCUCCUGGCCUCCCUGCAUCCCAGGGAGGGCACAUUCUGACUCAGAGAGCUGAGGAGGCUGGACUGCUGAGAUGCAAAUCACAGCCUGGAGGCUCUGGCUGGAGAGGCUCAGCUAAAGCUAGCACUUUUGGAAUCAAGUUCGCCCUGGAAGUGGGCUGUGCCUCAUCUUCGCACUCAGACUCUGAUACAGCUCGGAUAUCUGUCCUCUCCAACUCUCAUGUUGAAAUGUUGGGGGUGCGGCCAGUGGGAGGCAUCUGGGUCCUGGGAGCAGAUCUCUCGUGAAGGGCUUGGUGCUGUCCUUGCAGUAAUGGGGGUAAUGAGUGGGUCCUCAUUCUAUCAGUUCAUGUGAGACCUAGUUAUUUAAAAGAGCCUGGAACACACCCCCCACCCCCCACCCAUACUCUCUUUCUCACCAUGUGACACGCCUGCUCCCCUCCCCUGCCUUCAGCCAAGAAUAAAAGCCUCCUGAGGCCUCACCAGAAGCCAAGCAGAUGCUAGUGCUGUGCUCGUACAGCCUGCAGAACCAUGAGCCAAAUCAACCUCUUCAUAAAUGACGCAGGCUCAGUUAUUCCUUUGCAGUAACACAAAACAGACGAACACAGAUUCCCAAUGUGGUGCACUUCUGGGAGGAUCAGCCCUCAGGCCCAGCCCCAGGAUGAGAGCCGGCUCCUGGGUUUCACCGCCCUCACACGCCCACGACUGUGGAAUGAACGAGACUCACUGGGACCCGUCUUCAAGGUCAGCUCAGCAGUACGGGUCAUGUGAAGUCCCUGUUAAGUCCUUGUGAAAGACGGCCAGGAGAUUUAAAGGUGGAGCAGAUGAGACAGAGCAGGAUACCCCAGGACUGGGUCCAGCUUCUGGGGCCCGGUGGGAAGAGGUCUUUGGAUUCUAGUUCCGCUGAUUUUAACACUUGGGCCGUAACUAGCUUAGAAGAGUUCCAGUCAGCAAGGGGCAAGGGG
RNAcentral lists this long non-coding RNA (1075 nucleotides) under Homo sapiens (human). RNAcentral describes it as "HSALNT0169848". Lineage: Eukaryota; Metazoa; Chordata; Mammalia; Primates; Hominidae. The record is from RNAcentral.